AGAGCGAACGCUGGCGGCAGGCUUAACACAUGCAAGUCGAGCGGGCGUAGCAAUACGUCAGCGGCAGACGGGUGAGUAACGCGUGGGAACGUACCUUUUGGUUCGGAACAACCCAGGGAAACUUGGGCUAAUACCGGAUGAGCCCUUACGGGGAAAGAUUUAUCGCCGAAAGAUCGGCCCGCGUCUGAUUAGCUAGUUGGUGAGGUAAUGGCUCACCAAGGCGACGAUCAGUAGCUGGUCUGAGAGGAUGAUCAGCCACAUUGGGACUGAGACACGGCCCAAACUCCUACGGGAGGCAGCAGUGGGGAAUAUUGGACAAUGGGCGCAAGCCUGAUCCAGCCAUGCCGCGUGAGUGAUGAAGGCCCUAGGGUUGUAAAGCUCUUUUGUGCGGGAAGAUAAUGACGGUACCGCAAGAAUAAGCCCCGGCUAACUUCGUGCCAGCAGCCGC
Molecule: ribosomal RNA, 448 nt
Filed under: uncultured bacterium
Lineage: Bacteria
Description: SSU rRNA
Rfam family: Bacterial small subunit ribosomal RNA
Source: RNAcentral